Molecule: small RNA, 29 nt
Filed under: Bombyx mori (domestic silkworm)
Lineage: Eukaryota; Metazoa; Arthropoda; Insecta; Lepidoptera; Bombycidae
Description: piRNA piR-bmo-1709696
Source: RNAcentral
UCCAUUGAUUAGGCCUCAUAUUAUAGAGC